UUGUCACAUUUAUUAACUAUUGCAAAUAUCAUGUUUUUCUGUAAACAGACACUCUUUUCCGGGCGUUGUUAAUACUCACGAUUGGAAWMGCUCUCCGUUUACCUUGCCUGAUUCUGCUGGGACACCCGGGGGAUUUUCCAAGGCUACGAGCACAGGACUGUGUGGUGGUCAUUGCCAGGCAGUGAUGCUGCAGUAGAAGAUACUCUUUCCUGUGGUUUACCAAUAAACCAGCAGGACACUUUGCUGCUAGCAGCCCUAUACUGCUGAGAAUUGUUUUUCAGAUCGUUGUAGCUCUCACGCACUUUGGACUCAUCUCGUGUGCUUGAUGCGGCUCGUUGCCUCUGGAUGCGCAGCAGGACAGAGGAAGCUGGUGAGCCUCUGACGCCGGUUGUUUUGCAUUUGAACUUUCUAGGUCCCCUCUUACCRUGAGUCUGACAGGCAAGGGCGGCUUCUGGCUGAGAUAUUUCAUAAACUUCUUGCCGAUUUCUUCACAGGUGUCGUAAGAAGGCAUCUGUGUAGAGAUCGUUUGUUGGACCUGGAGCUGGACUGGUYGGUAAAGGACCACAGAAGAUCUGUCCAUGUAGAAAGUGAGUUUAAUUGCUUGCUGCAGGUACCUGAAACUGAAAAUGCUUCUGCUUUGUGCAUGCUGAUACACACACCAUGGCCUCUCUGCCUCUUCAUGCAGAGCGGGUGAGCCAUAGUGAUUUGUGGAGCAGAAAGAACAGCUGCCUUGAACCUGAGCUUCGUGAAGUUUUUGUGACUCUUCCCAAGAGAAAUUCAAGGUCUUGGAGUUUGGUGACAUUGCCUGUAGGUGCGUCUGGUGCCUCCCUCUGCUUUGAGAAGUGCCAUGAAGACAGACGUCAUUCAUCUUCACCAUUGCUGGAACUGCCUGGCUAUUCAUGCCAGCUUCUAGCCUCAAAAUACUUUAGAAGUUCUUAUGUAUCUUUCUCUCAAAGCUUGCUUUUUCU
RNAcentral lists this long non-coding RNA (968 nucleotides) under Dromaius novaehollandiae (emu). RNAcentral's name for it is "lncRNA (ENSDNVG00000002260.1)". Lineage: Eukaryota; Metazoa; Chordata; Aves; Casuariiformes; Dromaiidae. The record is from RNAcentral.